Long non-coding RNA from Rhinichthys klamathensis goyatoka, 440 nucleotides. RefSeq lists it as uncharacterized. The transcript is spliced from 3 exons. NCBI's taxonomy places the organism in Eukaryota, Metazoa, Chordata, Actinopteri, Cypriniformes, Leuciscidae. The record is from RefSeq and is a predicted model, not a curated record.
GAGGGAACCAGGUUUCAUUAGAUUCAAUGGUUUUAUUCAACCAGUAACAUGAGGAUCAUUCAGCUUCAGCUCUAUGUGUUAAUCUGUUGUCGAGCUGCAGUCUCAGAUCAACUCACUGAUGUGGGAUCAAAUGUGACCAUAAACUGUGAUCUUGAUGAAAAGGAGGUUUACUGGAUUUUACUGAAAACACCAGAUCCUCCAACAGUGAUUCUACGAUCAACCUCAAAUCCAACAUCACCUUUAUACUUAAAUAAAACAUUCAGACAGAAAUAUUCACUGCAAUUUAAACACUGUCUGGUUAUUAAUAAUGUAACCGCUGAUGAAUUAGGAGUUUAUUACUGUAUGAACACAGACACACCUCCAAAACUCAGCAACAGCACCAGACUGCACUUCACCGAAUCAACUCAAAUAACUGAGUGUCACAAUCAUACAGCGGUGGA